This 501-nucleotide long non-coding RNA is filed under the name Mus spicilegus (steppe mouse). RNAcentral describes it as "lncRNA (ENSMSIG00000002283.1)". The record is from RNAcentral. Lineage: Eukaryota; Metazoa; Chordata; Mammalia; Rodentia; Muridae.
CUUGUGAGUAGCAUGCACAUGAAGGGGAUCUACACACUUUCUGUCUGCUAUAGCUGUAGUAUUGUGUCUUGGUGAAGUUUAAGUAGUCAGGGCAGAAGGAAGAACUCUGCAGUCAGUAAUGGUGACAAGUGAGGCAGGAGGAACAACAUUUGAAGAAGGAGGAAUGUGAGCAGUAAGAGGUUUAAAAAGCCCACAGGAGGACUUACUGCAGCAGCAUGAGGUAAGGAAACUCUGUGGGCUAGUGCCUAGGCAAUGACAUUGGACGGCCUAGAGAGUGACAGGAAAUGCUUCCUCCUGUGUCUGCAUUCACAAUAUGAAAAUUGCAAAUUGGAGAGACUUUUGGCAACUUAUACUACCUGGACAAUAGCAACAUUAUAGCAGUCAAACCCUCAACCUCAGUAUAAGGACUGUGUGAGGUUCAGGAGAAGCAAUUUGGAUGUAUAUAUAGAAUAUGAGACACAAUUGGACAUUCAGCUUUGGGUAAAGAAAUAAAGUGUUAAA